This 417-nucleotide ribosomal RNA is filed under the name uncultured bacterium. Its description in RNAcentral is "bacterial SSU rRNA". It matches the Rfam family "Bacterial small subunit ribosomal RNA", at positions 362 to 776 of the family's 1533-position model. The record is from RNAcentral.
UAUUGGUCAAUGGGCGGGAGCCUGAACCAGCCAAGCCGCGUGAAGGAGGAAGGCGCUAUGCGUCGUAAACUUCUUUUGUCGGGGAACAAAGGGCGCCACGCGUGGCGUUGUGCGUGUACCCGAAGAAACAGCAUCGGCUAACUCCGUUACAGCAGCCGCGGUAAUACGGAGGAUCCGAGCGUUAUCCGGAUUUAUUGGGUUUAAAGGGAACGUAGGCGGGUUGUUAAGUCAGUUAUGAAAGUUUGCGGCUCAACCGUAAAAUUGCAGUUGAUACUGGCAUCCUUGAGUACAGUAGAGGUAGGCGGAAUUCGUGGUGUAGCGGUGAAAUGCUUAGAUAUCACGAAGAACUCCGAUUGCGAAGGCAGCCUGCUGGACUGUAACUGACGCUGAUGCUCGAAAGUGUGGGUAUCAAACAGG